Molecule: ribosomal RNA, 468 nt
Filed under: uncultured bacterium
Lineage: Bacteria
Description: partial 16S ribosomal RNA
Rfam family: Bacterial small subunit ribosomal RNA
Source: RNAcentral
GACGAACGCUGGCGGCGUGCUUAACACAUGCAAGUCGAACGGAAAGGCCAUGCUUUUGUGGGGUGAUCGCGUGGCGAACGGGUGAGUAACACGGGAGUAACCUGCCCUUGACUUUGGGAUAACUUCAGGAAACUGGGGCUAAUACCGGAUAGGAGCGCCUGCUGCCUGGUGGGGGUUGGAAAGUUUCGGCGGGUGGGGAUGGACUCGCGGCUUAUCAGCUUGUUGGUGGGGUAGUGGCUUACCAAGGCUUUGACGGGUAGCCGGCCUGGGAGGGUGACCGGCCACAUGGGGACUGAGGUACGGCCCAGACUCCUACGGUAGGCAGCAGUGGGGAAUAUUGCACAAUGGGCGGAAGCCUGAUGCAGCAACGCCGCGUGCGGGAUGACGGCCUUCUGGUUGUAAACCGCUUUCGCCUGUGACGAAGCGUGAGUGACGGUAAUGGGUAAAGAAGCACCGGCUAACUACGUG